RNAcentral lists this ribosomal RNA (497 nucleotides) under uncultured bacterium. RNAcentral's name for it is "partial 16S ribosomal RNA". It matches the Rfam family "Bacterial small subunit ribosomal RNA", at positions 28 to 507 of the family's 1533-position model. The record is from RNAcentral.
GAUGAACGCUGGCGGCGUGCCUAAUACAUGCAAGUCGAGCGAACGGACGAGAAGCUUGCUCUUCUGCUGUUAGCGGCGGACGGGUGAGUAACACGUGGAUAACCUACCUAUAAGACUGGGAUAACUUCGGGAAACCGGAGCUAAUACCGGAUAAUAUUUUGAACCGCAUGGUUCAAAAGUGAAAGACGGUCUUGCUGUCACUUAUAGAUGGAUCCGCGCUGCAUUAGCUAGUUGGUAAGGUAACGGCUUACCAAGGCAACGAUGCAUAGCCGACCUGAGAGGGUGAUCGGCCACACUGGAACUGAGACACGGUCCAGACUCCUACGGGAGGCAGCAGUAGGGAAUCUUCCGCAAUGGGCGAAAGCCUGACGGAGCAACGCCGCGUGAGUGAUGAAGGUCUUCGGAUCGUAAAACUCUGUUAUUAGGGAAGAACAUAUGUGGAAGUAACUGUGCACAUCUUGACGGUACCUAAUCAGAAAGCCACGGCUAACUACGUG